Molecule: transfer RNA, 73 nt
Filed under: Felis catus (domestic cat)
Lineage: Eukaryota; Metazoa; Chordata; Mammalia; Carnivora; Felidae
Rfam family: tRNA
About the family: Transfer RNA (tRNA) molecules are approximately 80 nucleotides in length. Their secondary structure includes four short double-helical elements and three loops (D, anti-codon, and T loops).
Source: Rfam by way of RNAcentral
GCCCAGCUGGCUCAGUCGGUAGAGCAUCUGAUACUUGAUCCCAGGGUUGUGAGUUCAAGCCCCACAUUGGGCA